Podarcis lilfordi (Lilford's wall lizard) is the source of this 14313-nucleotide non-coding RNA. The record is from the annotation of a GenBank genome assembly. NCBI's taxonomy places the organism in Eukaryota, Metazoa, Chordata, Lepidosauria, Squamata, Lacertidae.
CUAGAUUGAGGAGCUGUUUGUCUCUGGGACUCUCCUUCCCUUUGACUUCACCAUGGCUUGGCUCCUUCUUCUCUUCGCCCUUCUCAGCUACUGCUCAGGUCUGGUUCUGGGUGGUUAAUGGGAUCAGGUUGGCUUGUGCUGAAAUAAACAAACCCAUUUACCUCAUGUAAUUUACCAUAAAAACAAUAUUUUCUGAUCUUAUAAACACAGUAAAUGAUGCAUUUCUUUUUCUUUUUUCAAAGCUGUCAUAUCACAGACUUUAACUCAGCCAGCCUCGGAGUCUGUGUCCCUGGGCCAAACUAUGAAGCUCUCCUGCUCUAGAAGUAGUGGUGGCUGGGGCAGCUUUGGCUGGUAUCAACAGAAACCUGGCCAGGCUCCUCGCUUUGUGUGGUAUGGCUCCAGCACCAGGGGAGAAGGGAUCCCAGAUCGGUUCACAGGUUCUGCCUCUGGGAACAAUGGCUAUUUAACCAUCUCCAACACCCAGACUGAAGAUGAGGCAGUUUAUUACUGUGGUGCCGUAGAGGGCACUGGUGGCUUGAAGUAUCACAGUGGUACAAUCUGAUGGGGAAGUGAGACAAAAACCUUCACUCUUCCUCCCUAUAGUAGGUAACAUGAAUGAUUCAAGAGCUUUUUUGAGUCCAGGUGCAAGUCCCAGUGGAACAGGUCCAGAGCUUUCAUAAAAGAGUUGGGAGGGAUCAUGAGGGUCAUCUCGUCCAACCCCUGGCAAUGCAGGAAUCUUUUGCCCAAUAUAAGGCAUCAGAGUCUCAUGCUCUACCAUCGGAGCUAUCUCUCCCCAGCGAUCCUUCCCCUCCUUUUUAUAUACUUUUUUCAUCUUGGACUCAUGUUCUCAAACACCGUCCCACAACAAUUGCAUUUAACUGGUUUCUUAGAAAUGCUUUAGAACCUGACAUUUUCCGCCUCUGUCUGUAGGGUGAGAAGUUGGACCACCUUCCCCACCUUUCAUAGAAUUUAACUGCCACGGAGAGUGUGAGCAUCGCCAGCACCUGCAGAGCCAGUGAAGCAGGAGGCAGCUCAGAAGGACACACCUGCUCACCUUUCCACCCACCAGCUGCCCUUCCUACUCAUUUGUGCACAGAAAUCCAACCAUAACUGUCAGUGUGCACACAGCAGAGACCGAUGCAACCUCACUCCCAACCGAUUCACCUUUGUCUCAUGCUUUGGAAAGUUUUGUGAAUCUGCAAAGCCUGGGAAGGAAGAGGGCGGUCUAUGGUUGUUUCCACGAAAAGCUUAGAUGCAUGUGUGUGUGUGUGUGUGUGCGCGCCCGCCCGUGCUUCUUGUUUGUGUUAUUUGGAAAUCAGCCCUGUCUUGGCCAGGAAGUGGGAAAAUGGAACUAUUCACAUCUUCAGAAAAUUCACUAAGCCUCUCCUUUUAAAAAGUGUUUGGCAUGAAUGGUGAGAAAGAAUAGCCUUACAUCUAUUCCUCAACAAACGUUACAUACAUUUCCCACUGAAAUUGAGACUUAGCAGGCUUGUGGCAGAGCACCUUCUGCUCCGGAGCUCUGGCACGAGUCAGAAGAGUCAGGAAGGUGCUUUGGAGUCACCCUGCAGACUCACACCAGAGAGAGCAUUUUUGGUUCAGUCCUCUGGUGUGAGGACUCAUGUCAGAGUGCUGGACUAAAGACAGGCAUUCUUGGAUGCAAGCAGAAGUGAUCCCAGAAUGUCCCACUUAAAACAGGACUCUUCACAGUUAUGAUGUUCGUUCUCUGGGUUUGGCUGCCACUCUUUCCAGUGCUGCUGUUAGUGUGGAGCUGAGAAUCCUCUUGGCUGGGCCCCAAAUAAAACCUCCCAGGCCUCCUCAUAUCGCCAUGUCAUUCCCCUCUUAGGCUGCCCCCUCUCUCCCCAGGCCACCCCCUCUCCCCACUUAGCAGUCUCCUUCAGUGUUUUUGGCCAUCCGGAAUCAUUAUCUAAAUUUCAUUUGGAAUGACAUGAAUUCAAAUGUGUACUUCAGAUGAGUUCUGCUGAAAUUAUAGGUUUCAUCUGGAUGGAACAUCUGGAUGGAAACAAGCUUCCCUCCAGGAUUCUCUGCUUUAUCUUUGUGUUUUGCCAGGAGUAGGGGAGCUCUGUCCUCACCUUUCCAUCCACCCCGUCAACCCACCCAUGGCCCAGCUGGGUUAUCAUCUAGUCAGGCCCCUGACAAAGCAGCAUACAGGUGGGGAACCAUCACCAUGGCCUCCUCCCAACCUCCUUUGUACAUAUCAGAGCUUUAGACACCGGGGGAGAUGUUAGUUCCGUUUCUCUACAUUUGACAGAUUUGCACCUGCAGUAAAAAGUUACACAGAUGAGCAUUUUAUCUGGGUGUUCCUCAUGCAUGAAACUCAAGUGUCUGCACACAAAUUGAUCUGCCUUAGAAUACACUAAGAUGACGAAUGAGCUAAGCAGUCAUCUUGAAGGGGGCCUGGUUCUGACUUUGUAUUCUUCUCUCAGUUCUGAUCAUUGGUGUUUAAUGGCUUCAGCCCUUCUUUCUCUGGCUCAUGCACAAGAUGUGGCCCUCCAGGUCUGUUUCUGGCCCUCGGGAGUCUCCUCAAAUCAAGCCCCCUUCCCAGGCUACUACACCCCUAAGAAGCCCUGCUCUGAGUCCUCCCAAAGUGCUUUUUUCCUGCCAGGAAUAUCUCCUCGAAUUUUAUAGUGCCUUUUGCUCCACUAGAUGGAAUGCAGGGAGAGGUUUGGAUAGGUCUGGAAGGUGGUGUUACUCUCUUCAUUUUGCUAAACUGGGUUGAUUUUAUGAAAUUGUCUCUCAAAAUCUACCCACAGAUGGAGAUGGUUUUGAGAACACCUGAAACUGGUGUUAAUCCACCUCUCCCUUGUGAGUCAGGGGGUGAACAAGGGAUACUGUACUGGCCCACCCCUCUGGCUGCUUUUGCAAUUCUGGGUAGCAUUUGCUGCAGCGCAAGGAGCAGCCUGGAGACAGGGAUGCAGACAGUGAAGUGAUAUCAUUUUAAAUACCACCUGGUCACCCCCCCCCCCAACCAAUGCUUUUUAGCCCACACCGGUCAAACCUUUCUGGAAUUUUGAAAGGGAAAAGCUCUGUAUAUCUGUCUGUCUGCACCUCUAUGCAAAUGCAAGGAGAUAAAGAAGUUCUUGCAGAACCAAUGAGCACAGAGCCAGUUUGCAUGACGGAGUCAUUUGGUAUUUCUGGGGACUUCAUAGAGGAUGAAGAGGAUCCCAUCUAGAUCUCUUUCAGAAGGGAAGCCAGACUCCUUUAGAGAGCUCGCCAUGGCCUGGCCUCUGUUCUUCCUGGCACUUCUGAGCUACUGCUCAAGUAAAUCCCCACAGCUGUCUAUGGAUGCUUGUUUGUAAUUUCUUUUUGUUUUUAACUUGUCUUUAACUUUCUAUGAUUUUAUUGUUUUUAUAUUGUUGUAAACCAUGGUGAUCUUCUAUUUUAUGAGACAGAGGAAUAUAAAUAUUUUCAUAAAUAAAAGUAUGGAGGAUUCAGUAUACACAGCCCAAGAUCAAAUCUCUUUUCAUGAUGUACUCAUCAUGGGGACAUUAUGCUUUUUGUGAAAGUCAUGAUUUAUUUCCCAUUUCUUUGUUCAGGUGUCACUUCACAAGCAACAGUGACGCAGCCUGCUUCUUCAUCUGUCGCCCUCGGCCAAACAGCUAAACUCUCCUGCACUGGCAGUCAUGGUGGGAGCUGGUCCGACUAUCAGUGGCAUCAACAGAAACCCGGACAGGCUCCUCGCUUUGUGAUCUAUAGUACCAGCACCCGGGGAGAAGGGAUCCCAGAUCGGUUCACUGGCUCUUCCUCUGGGAACACUUACUAUUUAACCAUCUCCAACACCCAGACUGAAGAUGAGGCAGUUUAUUACUGUCUUGCUUGGGAAAACAACAGUGAAACGUUUCACAGUGGUACAACCUCAUGGGGAACUGAGACAAAAACCUUUGCUCUACCUUCCUAGAGUGAGAAAACAAGAACAACCCAAAAAUAUGACUAGUCAUAGUUGAGCGGUCUUUGUUUUUGACAGGAAUGUGUGAUGAUAUCAGGUUAUUUAGUCACACUGAUGCUAUUAAGGAAAUGAUCUCCACCCAUGAAUGGUCUCCACAAUUAUUGACUGACAGUCUUGGGCAAAGCAAAAUUCUACUGGCAAGCCCCUCACCUAUCAUGUGCAGCCUUGCUGGCAUCCCCUAAGGAAAAGGCUGUGGGUGUGGACUGUGUUGUGAAUAAGGUUGUGCCAACAGAUAUCAGCAAAAUGCAAAAUGACCCAAUGAGGGCAGGAUGUGGUUCCUUGAAAACCGGAAAUCAUUUAUCUCAAUUUCAUUUGUAUUGACAUGAAUUCGAAUGUGUACUUUAGAUGAGGAAAAAAACAUGAGAAGCUUGGCUGUGUGUGUGUGUUUGGACUAGAUGACUUUUGGCAUUAUUCCAACUCUACAAUUCUAUGAUUCUAUUAUUUUCAAGGGUCAUCUUUCUUUCUGUGUGUCUUUCAAGGUGUCAGUUCACUGCAAACUUCGGCUGCCCCUGAGUCUUUGUCUCUGGGCCAAACAAUUAAAGCUUUCUCCCUUUCUAAGUGGUGGUCACUUGUACUUAAAGAAAGCAAGGUAGGUUGUUGGCUUUAUGUUGUGCUAUAUUUUCAGCUGGUGAGAAGGGAUUCAUUCAGGUGGGAAGCAAAAACAUUUCUUCAAACUGUGCAAAUCCAGUCCUCCAAAAGUAGUGAUGGGAGAUGGGUCAGCUUUGCCUGUUAUCAACAGAAACCUGGGCAGGCUCUUCAGUCGGAUGCCUCUGUUCAGUGGCAGACUACAUGUGCUGUAUCCACAAGGUCAAUCCCCAGUAUUUGCUAAAUAUUAUUUGGGCUGUCUGUUGUCUGAAAUGCCAGGGACAUGCUGUUAGUCUGUGUAGACAUUUCAACAUAAAAUUUGAAUUGUGGCCUCACUGAGCACCAGGCAGCUUUCUGUAUGCCUUUUAAAGUUCUAUUUACACCUUCAAGAAAUGCAGUUGAAUUCUCCACCCCCAACCUGAACCUUCCCAGUGGAAUGCAGGGGUGGCUGGGAUCCAGCAUGAUCUUAAGGCAUUGCCUGAAGGGGCUUUGCAGCCCUGUGUUCGGGAACAUCCAGUGCUCUCCUCAAGCUUUUUCAGGGAGAGAACAUUCAGCAGCCUGUAGGCAGGGGGAGAAUAUAUGCUAUCUUGGGAAGGAGAGACCUGGGAUCCUCCAGAUAUUGCAGGUCACACACACCCAUCUGAAUGGUCAGAGGUGGAAGGUGUUGCAGUCCAAGAACAUCUGGAUGGAAACAAGAUCCCCUUCCAUCUUCUCAACGUACCUACGGGACCGCCUCUUCAGGUAUGCCCCGCAGAGGACCUUAAGGUCCACAAAUGUCAACAUUUUGGAGGUCCCAGGUUGCAAGGUGCUUAGAUUGGUCUCAACUAGGGUCAGGGCCUUUUCAGUACUGGUCCCUACUUGGUGGAACGCUCUGUCACAAGAGACUAGGGCCCUGCGGGACUUGACAUCUUUCCACAGGGCCUGCAAGACAGAGCUGUUCUGCCUGGCCUUUGGUUUGGACUCAGUCUGACCCUUAUGUUUCCCCUCGCCUUAUGGUUUUGAUCUAUGGGCUACUUUUAAAAUGAGGCUGCAUUUUAAAUUGCAUUUUAACCUGUAUUUUAAAUUGUUUUUUUUUUUCUCCCUAUUUUGAUUUUACUGUAAUUUUACUGGUGUUAGCCUCCCUGAGCCCGGGGAGGGCGGAGUAUAAACAAAACUUCUUCUUCUCCUUCUUCUUCUUCUUCUUCUUACUUUAUCUUUGCAUGCAUUGCCAGGAGGAGGGAAACUCUGUCCUCGCCUUUCCAUCCAUCACCACGUCCACCAAGCCAUGGCCCAGCUGUGUUUACUUCCAGUCAGGCCCCUGACAAAGCAGCAUGCAGGUGGGGAACCAUCACCACGGCCUCCUCACAGGCUCCUUUAUGCAUAUCAGUUCUGUUGCAUUUCUUAUGUGGGUUCCUGUAUUCCCCAUGGGGACGUGAGGUUCUUGAACAACCAACCCUGUCUGGCUGGAUUUGCAUUCAGGGACCAUUCACCAACUCUGGGGAUGUAAGAAAGGAAAGGUUGGUUGAGUCUCAGUCUGUUUCCUGUUGCUUCAGGAAGUCCUGCUGCUUUGAAGAGCUCACCAUGGCCUCUGCUCUGUUUCUCCUGGCCCUUCUCAAUCACUGUUCAGGUAAGGAUACAAAGAAAUCACUGUGUGAGCCUAAGAGCCAAACCCAAAAGUAUAAGUCAUGUUUAUUUAUCAUACAAUUCUAAAGCUCCUGUGAUAUUUGACAACACAGACCAACGAGAUAUAUGCUUGCUUAUUUUCUAUUUUGCCAAGGUGUCAUUUCACAGCCAACAUUGACUCAGUCUACCUCAGAAUCUGUGUCUCUGGGCCAAACAACUAAGCUCUGCUGCUCUUGAAUGAGUGGUAGCACCUGGGGCGGCUUUUCUUGGUAUCAACUGAAACCUGGAGAGAUUCCUUGCUUUGUUCUCUACAGCGAUGACCCCAGGGGAGAAGGGAUCUCGGAUCAGUUCACUGGCUCUUCCUCUGGGAACACUGGCUAUUUAAGAAUUUCCAACAACCAGGUUGAAGAUGAAGCAGUUUAUUACUGUGAUGACUGGGAGCACACUGAUAGUAUCAUGUUUCCGUGUUAUAAUCUGAUGGGGAACUGAGACAAAAACGUUCACCCUUUGACCACAGUGUAGCAAACCAAGAAUCCUUAGAAAGUUUCAUUUGUUCUUUCCCCAAGGACUUUGAAUCAUGUGCUUGGAAUGGAGAGAAACCCAAGUGCAUUUAAUCCCAUUUCCCUCGUCAAGGCAGACGCACCUGACUACUCAUUGCAUAGAUCAAACUUGCGCCAUACAACUGGGGCAUCUCACCGACAGAGUGCCAGACCCCCAAAUAAAGUUCCUUCUAGUGCAUAACACUAAAGCUUUGGGUCAGACAAGAGACAGUUCAAACUUUAUCAUAUCCCGAUGCUAAUUAGUUUCAGGGAAUCAUAUAUAUUGGAGAUCAUUAGUUAUCUUGAGCUCAUUCCCCCAUCAAGCUGUGGGUUUGAACCUGAGAAAAAGUAUUUGUGUGACUCAGUUCAUUGUUGCCUAUUUUUGAGGGUCUCAGCAAUUCUUGUGAAUAGUUUAGCUCAGGGGUAGUUUAGAAAGCUCAGAAAAGCCAGUUGGCCUCAAACAUUACUCCACUUUUCAGCCACACACAAUUCACACACCUGUAGGGAUGCAAUUUUUGGAAAUUCUCAGUUGCAGAUUUUUUCUGAUUGCCAUUUCAUUCCCUAAUCUCAACAGAACGUGAGCUCCUCCCAUUCUGCUAAUGUAUGAAGAAUCAUGGAGAAAAUUGAAAUUGAUAAAAGUGAAAUUACCAACCUACAGAGAUUUGUUACAAAAGCAGAAUUUUUGCUAUGCCCAGAAACUCUUACAGGGCUUUCUAGUGCAGUUUUGCAUGGAUAGAAGUUGCGAUAAGUGACCUGAUUUGCUGUGACCACAGUCUGCAGUGGAAACAAGGGUUUCUUGCAAUCUCAACAGAGCUUUGGAGUUGAAAGAGGUUCAGAUACUGAAAAAAGUAAUUCCUGUCAUAAAUGUGGGAAGGAAAGGUGAUAAGUUGUCUUCCUUUUGCAGGGAGUGCUUAAGUAGGUUUGGCAUUCCCUGCUUCUUUUGAGGACAGAAGACCAGCUUUAUGUUGGAUGUAACCCAUAUGAUUUUACAGUGGCACACUUCCUGGAGCUGUCUGACGUUCAAAUGUUCAAAGCUGAGAAUAUGUAUUGGUUUAAUAAAGCAUCCAAAUACUAUCUUGAGUCAGAAGAAACUGCUUUAUACUAGGUCAGGCUACUGGUUCGUUCAGGGCUCUUCAAGUCUGCUGUUAUUUUGGGGUGAGUUUCAAUCACAAAGCAGGAAAUCCACAAUUAAGUUUAUUUUGAAGUCUUGUGCAGCAAACUCUCUUCUCUGCAAAAUGAAACCAUUGAAAGAAGAAAAGUGGUGGGUGAAGGAACCAGAAAGUGUGGGAGAACAUUUGCCUGCAGCAACAUAACACAUCAGAGCAAAAGCUAAGUGAAAAGGCAUCCUAAUCUGGUGUGGUUAAUAUGAAUUUAGAGUCUCAGAAGGAGGUAUUUGCCAUCAAUUACUACUUAAAUCUUUUGUGGGGAAAUGGAGAUGUCAAGGACAACAUAAUCAUGACCAUUAUCAUUAAGCUAUGAGCCAUCCUCCUUCCUUUUCCCCUGAGCUAUUAUCCUACUUCUGCCUCAAAUUAAUCAUGUCCAGGACAAGAUCAUAGUCAAAAUAGAAAAAUAAAAAUACCCUUAUACCCCACAGUUCAUAUUGCAUUUUGUUUCCCUAUUGCACCAGCUAUUAUCAGCGGAGACAUGGCCUGAGCCAAUGAGCACAGGUUGAAUUUGCAUGAAGGGACCAUUCCUCAUCUUCCAGGGACUUAAAAAGGGAAGGGUUCCUUGGGUCCCAGCCAGGUGCCUGUCCAAUUAGAAAGACCCUACGCUGCUUUAGAGAGCUCACCAUGGCCUGGGCUCUGCUUUUCUUUGCCCUUCUCCAUUACUGCUCAGGUAAGGAUGCAAAGUGCCCUUACAUACGCCUGGGAGACAAAACAGCAAAAUGAUCUGUAAACUGUAUUUGCUUUAGCGACAGAAUGCUCUUGUGCUAUUUGAAAGCACAGAGGAUCAAAGGUAAUGACCUUUUUCUUUCUCUUUUCUGUAAAGGGGUCAAUUCACAAGCAACAGUGACACAGCCAGCCUCCCAGUCUGUGUCCUUAGGUGAAACAACUAAACUCCCCUGCUCUAAAAGUAGUGGGAGCUGGGUCAGCUUUUACUGGUAUCAACAAAAACCUGGCCAGGCUCCUCGCUUUGUGUUCUAUGGUACCAGCACCUGGGGAAAAGGGAUCCCGGAUCGGUUCAUUGCCUCUAUCUCUGGGAACAAUGGCUAUUUAACCAUCUCCAACACCCAGGCUGAAGAUGAGGCCGUUUAUUACUGUGCUGACUGGGAGUACACUGGUGGUAGCAAGUUCCACAGUGAUACAAUCUGAUGGGGAACUGAGACAAAAACCUUCACCCUUUCUCCCCAGAGUGAAGAAUGAAGCAGAAACUGUAGAAGAGCUCAGAGUCAUCUGUGCCCUGAGAUUUGUUGAUUUGCAGAGCAAGGGGGAUCUCCCUGAUCAUCUGCUCCUAGUCACUUUCCAAUGGCUGCUAAGCUUACGCUGGCAAUUCAAAAAAUAUCAAGCACUAAACCUUCCUUCGUAGGGAAUGAAUCUUAAUAUAUAAUACUGAUGGAGUGUCUGGUAGCUCUUUUUUCUGUCCCUUCUUUCUUUAGUUUUUCCUUUUUGCUGUUUAUGUGCAAUAAAUAGCAAUCCUAGUCCAGUAUUCUGAUGCUCAGGACAGAGUCUCUUGAACUUAUCCACAAUCUGCUACUUGAUCAUUUCAUAUUUAACUGGGAUACAAAGGACUGGACCUUCUUUAGGCCAAUCACCCUUUUGUCGCUAAGCUUGUUGCCUCUGCCCAAGCCAUUGGUUGUGGAACUAUUUGCAUGAUACAUCACCUGUCAUUUCCAGGGGAUUUAAGAGAGGAGGAGGAGGAGGAGGAGGAGGAGGAGGAGGAGGAGGAAGGUGCAGCUAGAUUGAGGAGCUAUUUGUCUCUGGGACUCUCCUUCCCUUUGACUUCACCAUGGCUUGGCUCCUUCUUCUCUUCGCUGUUUUCAGCUACUGUUCAGGUCUGGUUCUCGGUGGUUAAUGGGAUCAGGUUGGCUUGUGCUGAGAUAGUGGGACAAAAAAAAAACCCAUUUCUCUUGUCUAAUUUGCCAGGUUGGAUGGUCAUCUGUCCUGGAAGCUUUAGCUGAGAUUCCUGCAUUGCAGGGGGUUGGACUAGAUGACCUUUGGGGGCGUUCAAUUGUACAAUUCUAUGAUUCUCACAGGUCAUCGUUCUUUGUUUGUGUCUUUCAAGGUGUCAGUUCACUGCACACUUUGACUCCAGCUGCCUCUGCGUCUUUGUCUAUGGGCCAAGCCCAAACCAUUCAAGCGUUCUCCGUCUCUAAGCGUGGACACUGGGACAGCUUUUAAGGGUACUAACAGAAACCUGGGUCGCUUGUUGGCUUUAUGUUUUAUGAUCUUUUUAGCUGGGGAGAAGGGAUUCAUUCAGGUGGGAAGCAAAAACUUUUCUUGAAACUGCAAAUCCAGUCCUCUGAAAGGAGCUGUGCAGUCUUGCCAGAGAAAGAUUGUAUAUCUUUGCCCCAGGGACAUGGCCACUGCUGUUGUGCACUCAGUUUUUGAGUUCCAAUCAAAACAUUUAUUUUAUUUUUUUUUAUAAUUGAUAUUUAUUAAAUUUUCAAAAGGAUAACAACGAAAAUUUCCAAAAAAAGAAAAAAUAAAAAAAUUUGAAGAUACAAAAAACAAAAAUAGUACAUAAACAAAAAAGAAAAGAAAACCCAGCCGCAGAAAAAGAAAAAAAAGAAACAGAAAAACAAAAAUAUGAAGUCCUUUACAAUCUCUAUUAACUUCCUUUCUAGGCUUCCUCCUCCUCCCCUCUUUUGUUUCUUAAUUUUUAAUUUUUACAGCAAAUCCUUUCUGUUUUUUCAUAACAAUCUGCCAUUACGUUUCCUUAUUCUAUUUUCCCUCUUGUCAUGUAAAACCUUUAAACCUUUUUACAAAUCAUUUACCAAUCCUUACUUAAGCCAUGUAAUUUCAUUCAACAUCCUUCAAACAUUUAUAAGCAUUCCCAAUAUUAAAAAAUAAAAAGGAAAGAAUAAUAAGUCAAAUUCAAUCCAGUCAGCUUCCAACCUCCCCUCCCCUGGACCCGGGAUUGUCAGUCCUUUUAACCUCUUAACCUGGUUGUCUCGUAUCCGAGGCCCUCAAGUCUCUGUCUUGCCCCUUUCGCCACUCUUGUUGAUGAUUCCUUUCCAGUCGUGGAUGCUCCAGCAAGAAAAUGCUUUUGACCCUUUGCAGCAAGUCCAUCCCAAACCCAUUGCCCAAGCCAGACAGCAAGUAAUACCACUUCAGAUUUCCACAAAGCUUGGAGACUUCGGCUACUCCAAUCCUCUGAUAGCCCAUCACCAGACUCGGAAGGUCCAAAUAACCAUAUGGAGGGGGGUCAAUCCAUCCCCCCAUUUCCAAAUCUGAGCACAUUUCAUCUUUCCGAAUCUGGUUUGUCCCAAGUUCAUUUGUCAAGUUCAAAGACUGAUCUUGCCCGUCCAAAGGUCCCUCUAUCUCUGAAGCCUCCGUCACUACAGCAGGUUCAUAUACUUGUAUAGCCUUUAACUGAAUUUCAUUUGUUUGCUGCUGUGCUCUGGUGACUUCCAUCAUCAAGGUCGUCUCACACAUCUGGUCCAGCUGGGCACUUAGUUUUGAAAAACCUUCCAUGAACAAUUGUUCAAGCCUUUGUACUAGCAUUGUUCUUCAAGGUCAAAAAAAAUUCUUUCCCACGGCAAUAGUCCAAUAGUCCUUCUCUUUUAGUCUCUCUGCGUUGCAGUUUCACUGAAUUCCACUAGAUGGAAAUUCUUUUUUUUUUUUUAAAGGAAUAAAAGCAACAGCAACAAUCUUUCUUUUGCCAGAAAAACUUUAUCCAAAAUGCCCCCUUCCAAAUUCAAGAGGCAACAGUAGAAUCAAAAUGUUACCCUUCUUUUAACUAACUGUCAAGCUAGAUAAACUUCAGAACGUCAAUUCUGACAGCCCGCUCCUGGUUCAGGGCGGUGGAAAAUUGCUUUAUUUUAAACUCACUUCCGCAGGAUUAAAGAGUCCAAAUACAACCCCCUUCUUCUCCUGCAAUCGAAGGGGGGGUUCAGAAAUCUUAGAUGUUGAAUUCUAGUUCUCUUAAAAUUUAGUUUUCAAGCUUUAAUAUAUUUUAUCUUUGCUUUCUUCACAUAACAAAAGAACGGAAGGCGACUUCCUGUUUAGACCUUCUCAUUCCGAGUCCCAAUUAAGUUCAAUUUCAAGUCCAAUAUUAUUAUUUUUUUUUUUUUCACCAGUCUUAAAAGUGGUUCAGCUCUUCCAAGAUCAGGUACUCACGGAUAGAUAUUUUAGAUGCCAAAUUGUCCAGGAAAAAGGCAGCGCUCUCCGAUAACGGCAGUGCGGCUUUGCUGCACGGAGGAAGCAGACGACUCACAGCACCACGCACCUCCCACUCCGGAGCCCGUUACCGAGCUCCUGUACAAGGGGAGAGCGCUCUCGGUGCCCGCCGAGUCCCACGUCCACAGGCUUCUUCCGCCUGUGGUUUUUGCGGGUCCCCGCUGCGCCGUAGCGGCAGGACCCAAGCCUCCAUGCAGCGGGUUCCCUUCAGUCCGAAGGGAAUUCCGCCAUUUUCCGGAGGCGCCACCCCGGAAGUCCCAAUCAAAACAUUUAAAUGGGAUAGAAAAUGCCUCAUUUCCUGGUUAUUUAAGAAAGCAGAAGGUGAAGCUAGAUCAAAGAGCUGUUUGCCUCUCAGGCUCACCCUACUUUGGACUUUCCACAUGGCCUGGAUCCUUGUUCUCUUCGUGUUUCUCAAUUAUUGCUCAGGUCUGGUUAUGGAGGUUUAAUGGGCUCAGCUUGGCUUGUGCAGGCAUAAAGUGCCUGUCAAAAACAGUUAUCUGCUCAGGUUAUGGCUGCAAAUCCAGAUAUUUAAGCUGAAGCUCGUGGCCAAGUCUCCAUUAUUAGGGUACUGUGUACUUUGCAGUGGGGUUAGCAAUGGAUACUUCACAAGGUUAUGAAUCUGAAUAUUUGCCUUGGCAAUUAUUUUCAUUUCUGAACAUUCAAUGACAGUUGUAGGUCAAAUCUUAUUUCCUGUGUGUGAUGCCUGCUGUCCCAGCUCUCACCUUUAAGGGGAGAUGUUGAUGCAUCUUCUCAACGUUUGGCAGAAUAGGAUAACAACACAGACUGUUUGCCCCCAUUGCACCUGGGGCAGGGCAGGAAAAUGUUGGCUAUGCAUAGGUGCUUUUUCACUGCAACUCACUCAUGUAUAGAGCUCAAGGGCUGGAAGGUAAGUUUCUCUACCCAAGAAUAUUAGCUGACACUCUGAGCAUGUUUAGGCAAGUUGUGUGUUGCAGGUUCUACUUAGAAGACCCCUUGAAAUGAAAAGGCUGAAGGUGAAUACAGCCAAAGACCAUGUUUGCUGUCAGGCUGAUGCCUGGAUGGACUGCCUUUGGCAAAGAACAUUUUUCUAGGGCAGGGAUAACCCACAUGUUUCCCUAUGGAUGCUAUAGGGCUGCAUGGUUUCAGCGGUUGCUCCCAGUCCCCAGUCUAGCUGCCGUGUUCUGGAUUAAGUGCAGUUUAUGCGUAUAUAGCUUGGAGAGAGUCCUGCAGAGCAACAGAUGUGAGACUCUUGUCAUUGCACAAUAGGCCACUUUCUAUCCAUGCAAAAGUCAGAGAAUUCUGCCUCACACACGGAUCUCUUGAUCCUUCAUGAAGACAGGCCAGAAACAUGAUUCAAGGAUUCAAGGAUUGAGACUUUUGUGUAAAGGAGAGGGAAUUGGAAAGUGUAGAAUGACAUUUCAAAUGUUUCAUUGGCUUUCCCUGCAAAAGGUGUGAAUGGAGGCCAAAUAAACAGUUGACUCGGUUCAAUUUUCUUGCAGACUAAUCAGCAUGAAUGUGCAGUAAACAGCAAUCCUGGUCCAGUAUUCUGAUGCUCAUGGAGGAUUCUCUUGAACUUUCCCACAAUCUGCUACUUGAUAUUUUUCUCUUUAACUGGGAUACCAAGGAUUGGACCUUCCUUAUGCAAAUCACCCCCUUUGCCACUAAGCAUGAUGCCUCUGCCCAAGCCAAUGGAUGUGGACCUAUUUGCAUGAGAGAUCAUUUGUCAUUUCCAGGGGAUUUAAGAGAGGAGGAGGAGGAAGGUGCAGCUAGAUUUAGGAGCUGUUUGGGACUCUCCGUUCCUUUGACUUCACCAUGGCUUGGCUCCUUCUUCUCUUCGCACUUCUCAGCUACUGCUCAGGUCUGGUUCUGGGUGUUUAAAGGCUUGUGCUGAGAUAACGGGGAGAGCCACAAACCCAUUUAUCUUGUGUAAUUUACCCUACAAUGUUUUUCUGAUCUUUAUAGCCACAGAAAAUGAUGCAUUUUUCUUUUUUCUUUUUGCAAAGGUGUCAUUUCACAGACUUUAACUCAGCCAGCCUCGGAGUCUGUGUCCCUGGGUCAAACUGUGAAACUCUCCUGCUCUAAAAGUAGUGGUAACUGGAACUACUUUGGUUGGUAUCAACAGAAACCUGGCCAGGCUCCUCGCCUUGUGUUGUAUAGUACCAGCACCCGCGGAGAAGGGAUCCCAGAUCGGUUCACUGGUUCAGCCUCUGGGAACACUGGCUAUUUAACCAUCUCCAGCAUCCAGACUGAAGAUGAGGCCUUUUAUUACUGUGGUGCCUGGGAGUACACUGGUAGCAGCAAGUUC